Long non-coding RNA from Bombyx mori (domestic silkworm), 511 nucleotides. RefSeq lists it as uncharacterized. The record is from RefSeq and is a predicted model, not a curated record. NCBI's taxonomy places the organism in Eukaryota, Metazoa, Arthropoda, Insecta, Lepidoptera, Bombycidae. The transcript is spliced from 3 exons.
ACAUUUAAUGUCACGUUUGACAUGUGUAAUCAUAGACUUGACAUGUAAAGAACAUUCACAUAACAAUGCGUCGCAAAACGAUAUUUGAUUUCGCAAAUUGUAUUAGCUUUAUGUGACUGAUAUGGUGAUAGGUAAUUUGAUGAAAUAAUCUUUUUUCCCAAGAAACUAAUAGUAAACAAUGAAAAUCAUUGAAAUGAGCUAUUGCGAUAAAUGCCCAAUGGCGAAGGAUUACGGUGUGCAUAAAGGAAGUGCUGAUAAACUUAAUAGUCAUUGUUCAAGCCUGAAUCCAUUCAGGACGCGAAAGCAUUCCCUCCAACUCGGGAGUUCCAAUCAGGGGUUUCAUUUCAAUAAUAAAAUAAUAUAAUACGAGAUGCCGAUGUAAUCGCAGAUGAGUUGAAUAUUAAAAUGUACCUUCGAUCCACUGACCAAUUCCCUCGUGAAAACUCAAUAAGCUAUUUUUUGUCGUGAAAUGAAAUGCUCUUUUGUAAAUAAAACGCCAUCUAAAGUGUUA